AUGAGGUCACAUGAGAACGGGCUUCAUGGAAAUAGGGCUUCACCUGACCAUUUGCAUAAAG
RNAcentral lists this small RNA (61 nucleotides) under Caenorhabditis elegans. RNAcentral describes it as "Unclassified non-coding RNA D1014.11". Lineage: Eukaryota; Metazoa; Nematoda; Chromadorea; Rhabditida; Rhabditidae. The record is from RNAcentral.